AACAUUACCUAAUAAAAUAACCUACAGAAACUUAAAAUAGUAUCUGAAGAUUUCUUAGACAUAAACAAGGGAAAACGACAAACCGAACGAAAACCGGGCAGCGCUUCUCCUUUUCCAUAGGGUGUGGGAGAGAAAAAGAAAGGGCGGGCGUGGACAGUCACUGGAUUUCUCUUUCUCUAAUAACUUUAGCAAAAGCUGGACUUGCACUUGGCCACUCGACG
Non-coding RNA from Caenorhabditis elegans, 221 nucleotides. The record is from Ensembl. NCBI's taxonomy places the organism in Eukaryota, Metazoa, Nematoda, Chromadorea, Rhabditida, Rhabditidae.